UGGGGAAUUUUGCACAAUGGGGGAAACCCUGAUGCAGCGAUGCCGCGUGAUUUAGAAGGCCCUCGGGUUGUAAAAAUCUUUUCUAUGGGAAGAAAAUGACAGUACCAUAGGAAUAAGGACCGGCUAAUUACGUGCCAGCAGCCGCGGUAAUACGUAAGGUCCGAGCGUUGUCCGGAAUCAUUGGGCGUAAAGGGUACGUAGGCGGGUAAGCAAGUUAGAAGUGAAAUCCUAUAGCUCAACUAUAGUAAGCUUUUAAAACUGCUCAUCUUGAGGUAUGGAAAGGAAAGUGGAAUUCCUAGUGUAGCGGUGAAAUGCGCAGAUAUUAGGAGGAAUACCGGUGGCGAAGGCGACUUUCUGGCCAUAACCUGACGCUGAGGUACGAAAGCGUGGGUAGCAAACAGG
This 402-nucleotide ribosomal RNA is filed under the name bacterium. Its description in RNAcentral is "partial 16S ribosomal RNA". It matches the Rfam family "Bacterial small subunit ribosomal RNA", at positions 355 to 776 of the family's 1533-position model. The record is from RNAcentral.